This 120-nucleotide ribosomal RNA is filed under the name Helianthus annuus (common sunflower). Lineage: Eukaryota; Viridiplantae; Streptophyta; Magnoliopsida; Asterales; Asteraceae. The record is from RNAcentral.
GGUUGGGAUCAUACCAGCACUAAUGCACCGGAUCCCAUUAGAACUUCGCUGUUAAGCGUGCUUGGGCGAGAGUAGUACUAGGAUGGGUGACCCCCUGGGAAGUCCUCGUGUUGCAACCCC